GAAUGGCCCCAUGGAUGUCCGGCCAGAUCCUGCUGGAUUGAGCAUACGAGGCUUAAGGCUGCAAAUGGGUCAGGUUGACUCGCGGCCUGACCUGAUCCAACCCACUUAGAUCCGAUCCGAUCUGUUUUAAAGGGAUUGUGGGCCGAGUCGAGUUCUAAAAUUGGUCUCAUUCUAUUUUUCGGGAUAAGUCUGGGUUUACUGAAUUCAAAUCUGACCCGAUCUGAUCCAUUUGAAAUUUGGAUAAUUUUGGAUUUUCAAUCCUACGACCCUCCCUGACCCAACCCGAAACUAUUAAAUUAUUUGGGUCCGCGGGCCGCAGCCCGCGAGGGUGCAAACAAAUAAGUUAGCCUAGACCUAGAGAAAAUAUAUCUUACAUCAAAUCUUAUUUAAUAAAUAUUAAAAUUCUUUCUAUAAUCAAUUUAUUCUAUUUAUGUUUCUCUUCUAUUAGGACUAUAUAUUAUUUAUUGAUCAUAGAGCUUAUCCAUUUAGUUUAUGAGUCAGCAGGUAGAGAAUGUUAAUUGAAAAUAUGGACAAACUUAUGAUAGUUUUAGUGGGAAUGAAGACAGAGUUGACCUUCUUUGAGCUCUAAUUCAUCCUAAAUUAUUGUUUUGCUUGACCUUUCUAACUUUAAAGGUUUUAGAUAUUAUAACCCAUAUUUAUAACAAGCACCAACUCCUCACUAUGAUGCACAGGAACUAGGGAUGCAAGGAGAUUACAGUUUUUGACACGGACCCAAACCCGACUCGAAUGAUCCAUUGGAUCAAAAAUUGUACUCGUGGACCCGAACAGACUGGGUCUGGGUCUAAAAUUAGGAUCCGAAAAAAAAAAUCGGGUUGGGUUGGGGUUACUCAUUAUCCGGUUUGAUCCGACCCAUUUGCACUCCUAAUGAGACC
This 893-nucleotide long non-coding RNA is filed under the name Phoenix dactylifera (date palm). Its description in RNAcentral is "long non-coding RNA (PDAC_LNC017168)". The record is from RNAcentral. Lineage: Eukaryota; Viridiplantae; Streptophyta; Magnoliopsida; Arecales; Arecaceae.